Molecule: ribosomal RNA, 225 nt
Filed under: uncultured bacterium
Lineage: Bacteria
Description: partial 16S ribosomal RNA
Source: RNAcentral
CUGCUGCCUCCCGUAGGAGUCUGGGCCGUGUCUCAGUCCCAAUGUGGCCGGUCACUCUCUCAAGCCGGCUACUGAUCGUUGCUUUGGUAGGCCAUUACCCUGCCAACUGGCUAAUCAGACGCGGGGCCAUCGUAUGCCGAUAAAUCUUUUCACACCAUGCCAUGCAGCAUUGUGUGCUUAUGCGGUAUUAGCAGUCAUUUCUGACUGUUGUCCCCCUGCAUACGG